Molecule: non-coding RNA, 262 nt
Organism: Arachis ipaensis
Lineage: Eukaryota; Viridiplantae; Streptophyta; Magnoliopsida; Fabales; Fabaceae
Source: RefSeq, a predicted model, not a curated record
GUUGCGGUUGUUGAUGAUCUCGAUUUAAGAUAGGAGGUUCCUGUGACGCGUUUGGGUUAUGGAAUUGCGUUUUGAGGAUAUGGGUGCUGAAGUCACGAAGAGUUUAUUUAUUUGUUGUUGAGAUGUUCUGUAUUGCUUCAGAUUAUUAUUUUUGUACCCUCGCCUUUAUCUUGAUUUAUUUUGUAAGAGAGGUAGGAAUUGUAUUAGAUAAUGCUUGUGAUAUUAUUUAUAUCUAUGUAUAUAUAUAUAUGAAUGUACUUUU